UGCGUGACCAACCUGCCCCAUGCUCCAGAAUAGCUCUUGGAAACGGGUGGUAAUGCUGGAUGCUCCAACUUGACGCAUGUCUUGUUGGGAAAGUGUUUAGUGGCAUGGGAUGGGGUCGCGUCCUAUCAGCUUGUAGGCGGGGUAAUGGCCCACCUAGGCUUCGACGGGUAGCCGGCCUGAGAGGGCGGACGGCCACAUUGGGACUGAGAUACGGCCCAGACUCCUACGGGAGGCAGCAGCG
Molecule: ribosomal RNA, 241 nt
Filed under: uncultured Gardnerella sp.
Lineage: Bacteria; Bacillati; Actinomycetota; Actinomycetes; Bifidobacteriales; Bifidobacteriaceae
Description: partial 16S ribosomal RNA
Rfam family: Bacterial small subunit ribosomal RNA
Source: RNAcentral